Molecule: ribosomal RNA, 468 nt
Filed under: uncultured bacterium
Lineage: Bacteria
Description: partial 16S ribosomal RNA
Rfam family: Bacterial small subunit ribosomal RNA
Source: RNAcentral
GACGAACGCUGGCGGCGUGCUUAACACAUGCAAGUCGAACGGAAAGGCCCUGCUUUUGUGGGGUGCUCGAGUGGCGAACGGGUGAGUAACACGUGAGUAACCUGCCCUUGACUUUGGGAUAACUUCAGGAAACUGGGGCUAAUAACGGAUAGGAGCUCCUGCUGCAUGGUGGGGGUUGGAAAGUUUCGGCGGUUGGGGAUGGACUCGCGGCUUAUCAGCUUGUUGGUGGGGUAGUGGCUUACCAAGGCUUUGACGGGUAGCCGGCCUGAGAGGGUGACCGGCCACAUUGGGACUGAGAUGCGGCCCAGACUCCUACGGGAGGCAGCAGUGGGGAAUAUUGCACAAUGGGCGGAAGCCUUAUGCAGCAACGCCGCGUGCGGGAUGACGGCCUUCGGGUUGUAAACCGCUUUCGCCUGUGACGAAGCGUGAGUGACGGUAAUGGGUAAAGAAGCACCGGCUAACUACGUG